ACUCGACCGCAUGAAGUCGGAAUCGCUAGUAAUCGCGAAUCAGAAUGUCGCGGUGAAUACGUUCCCGGGUCUUGUACACACCGCCCGUCACACCAUGGGAGUUGGAAGCGCCCGAAGUCUGUGACCUAACCGAAAGGGAGGAGCAGCCGAAGGUGAAGCCAGUGACUGGGGUGAAGUCGUAACAAGGUACC
RNAcentral lists this ribosomal RNA (191 nucleotides) under uncultured bacterium. RNAcentral describes it as "partial 16S ribosomal RNA". It matches the Rfam family "Bacterial small subunit ribosomal RNA", at positions 1310 to 1500 of the family's 1533-position model. The record is from RNAcentral.